This is a long non-coding RNA of Polyodon spathula (Mississippi paddlefish), 2065 nucleotides long. RefSeq lists it as uncharacterized. Lineage: Eukaryota; Metazoa; Chordata; Actinopteri; Acipenseriformes; Polyodontidae. The record is from RefSeq and is a predicted model, not a curated record. The transcript is spliced from 4 exons.
GUUCACGACCCUCAGCUUUGUCAUGGGCGUCAGUAUUGGCUGUGUGGCUGUCGUGUUUGUGCUUGGCUUCAUCACAGUGUUGGUGUUUUACUGCAACAGGAAAAGAGCAGCAGUUCAAACCCAGGAGCCAAUGAAAGAGAAGCCUGACGACUCUGCUGCCAUCUACUCCAAUAUCACUGAACUCCAGACAAUGACAGGUAGUGCCAGUCUACUCCAAUAUCACUGAACUCCAGACAGUGACAGGUAGUGCCAGUCUACUCCAAUAUCACUGAACUCCAGACAAUGACAGGUAGUGCCAGUCUACUCCAAUAUCACUGAACUCCAGACAAUGACAGGUAGUGCCAGUCUACUCCAAUAUCACUGAACUCCAGACAGUGACAGGUAGUGCCAGUCUACUCCAAUAUCACUGAACUCCAGACAAUGACAGGUAGUGCCAGUCUACUCCAAUAUCACUGAACUCCAGACAGUGACAGGUAGUGCCAGUCUACUCCAAUAUCACUGAACUCCAGACAAUGACAGGUAGUGCCAGUCUACUCCAAUAUCACUGAACUCCAGACAGUGACAGGUAGUGCCAGUCUACUCCAAUAUCACUGAACUCCAGACAGUGACAGGUAGUGCCAGUCUACUCCAAUAUCACUGAACUCCAGACAAUGACAGGUAGUGCCAGUCUACUCCAAUAUCACUGAACUCCAGACAAUGACAGGUAGUGCCAGUCUACUCCAAUAUCACUGAACUCCAGACAAUGACAGGUAGUGCCAGUCUACUCCAAUAUCACUGAACUCCAGACAAUGACAGGUAGUGCCAGUCUACUCCAAUAUCACUGAACUCCAGACAAUGACAGGUAGUGCCAGUCUACUCCAAUAUCACUGAACUCCAGACAAUGACAGGUAGUGCCAGUCUACUCCAAUAUCACUGAACUCCAGACAAUGACAGGUAGUGCCAGUCUACUCCAAUAUCACUGAACUCCAGGCAAUGACAGGUAGUGCCAGACUCCUCUGGGAGUCUGCAUUUCAAAUUAAAUUAAUACCUGAACAUAUCCGUGUUUUUUUACUUCAAAAUCUAAUAUCACUUCUUUUUUCAAAUAGUAAAAAAGAAACACCCUGCCAAGUAACAAAAACAGUAAUAAGCAAUCGAGGAGUGUCUCAGACUCCAAACUGUACCUGAUGGGCUUAUUUCUAGCUGUGCAACUUUGUUUUUCAAACAUGGAGUACAAUGCUUAAAAAAAAAACUCUCCUGGUGUCUUUAUUGUAAGGAUGUCAUGCUGCAGCAUGGUAGAACACAAGUUCGUUUUUAGUUUUUGUAGUUCUACCAAUUUUUAAAGAGAUGCUGUCAUAAAACCUAUCAUGGUCUUGAGCAACAUGCUUUAAAAAAUGUUAGCACAAUAUUCUUAUUAGAACGAUGUGUAUAUGACAAAGAGACUAGUGUCAUUAUCAUUCCCUUUAAAAAUAUGUGUAUUAAAUGGAUCGCAUGAUAAUUUGGUUGCUGUACAUACAGUACUGGUACAGUACCUGCCAGUAUGAUGGUCGGACUGAACAGAGCUGCUGUUUUCUGACACUGUUGAGAUGUUCAUAGAGGACAACAGAGGCUGGUCUUGUGUGUCUUUCUUGAAAGGUAACGCAGAGGUUGAGGAAACACAGAGACCAGAUCCCCAAGAAGACAAGGACAAAUCCGAACUUCAUUACGUGACUUUUACAUUUGAAGAAGGAAUGGCAGAUGUGAACGGUGGUGAGAUGGACUGCAGUCCCAUUGCAGCAAGCAAUGUAGCACCAAGCAAUGAAGUUGUCUACUCCAGCAUCAAGACAGCAAGACAUUGACAGGCAGGCCAGUCAAGGCCAGUUUCUUGGGACAGAGUCUGAGUAGGGCUGUGAAACUCUGGGGCUUUCUCAGAGAUCAGGCUUAUUCUACAUGUACCUUCUAUGUCAUUUAAAAAAUGCAUUCUUUUUAUUUGUGAUGACGUUUUGUUUGUGCUAUCUUGGCUGCAGUGUGAUUCUGAGUGAUCACUGAAUGGUGCAUUGUAGGUAUUGCACUGUAAGAUGCUAUGCUCUAGAAGUGCUUGUGUAUAGGG